UACGAAGGGGGCUAGCGUUGCUCGGAAUCACUGGGCGUAAAGGGUGCGUAGGCGGGUCUUUAAGUCAGGGGUGAAAUCCCCGAGCUUAACUUCGAAACUGCAUUCGAUACUGCCGUGCUUGAGGACUGGAGAGGAGACUGGAAUUUACGGUGUAGCGGUGAAAUGCGUAGAUAUCGUAAGGAAGACCAGUGGCGAAGGCGGGUCUCUGGACAGUUCCUGACGCUGAGGCACGAAGGCCAGGGGAGCAAACGGG
Molecule: ribosomal RNA, 253 nt
Filed under: uncultured bacterium
Lineage: Bacteria
Description: partial 16S ribosomal RNA
Rfam family: Bacterial small subunit ribosomal RNA
Source: RNAcentral